Long non-coding RNA from Sinocyclocheilus rhinocerous, 314 nucleotides. RefSeq lists it as uncharacterized. The transcript has 3 exons. The record is from RefSeq and is a predicted model, not a curated record. Lineage: Eukaryota; Metazoa; Chordata; Actinopteri; Cypriniformes; Cyprinidae.
GGGCCUGGUGAGGUUUCCCGUGAUGAGUCAAAUUAAGCCGCAGGCUCCACUCCUGGUGGUGCCCUUCCGUCAAUUCCUUUAAUUUUCAGCUUUGCUACCAUACUCCCCUGGAACCCAAAGACUCGUGGUUUCCCGCACGCUGCCCGGUGGGUCAUGGGAAUAAUGCCGCCGGAUCGAGGGUCGGCAUCGUUUAUGGUCAGAACUAUAACGGUAUCUGAUCGUCUUCGAACCUCCGACUUUCGUUCUUGAUUAAUGAAAACAUUCUUGACAAAUGCUUUCGCUUUCGUCCAUUUUGAGACGGUCCAAAAAUUUAA